GCAAGUCGAGGGGUAACAGGGGAGCUUGCUUCCGCUGACGACCGGCGCACGGGUGCGUAACGCGUAUAGAACCUACCUUUUACAGAGGGAUAGCCUUUAGAAAUGAAGAUUAAUACCUCAUGGUAUUUUAGAUUGGCAUCAAUCAAAAAUUAAAGAUUUAUCGGUAAAAGAUGGCUAUGCGUCCUAUUAGCUAGAUGGUAAGGUAACGGCUUACCAUGGCAACGAUAGGUAGGGGCCCUGAGAGGGGGAUC
This 251-nucleotide ribosomal RNA is filed under the name uncultured bacterium. Its description in RNAcentral is "partial 16S ribosomal RNA". It matches the Rfam family "Bacterial small subunit ribosomal RNA", at positions 57 to 305 of the family's 1533-position model. The record is from RNAcentral.